AGAGUUUGAUCCUGGCUCAGGAUGAACGCUAGCGGGAGGCUUAACACAUGCAAGUCGAGGGGCAGCACGAUGUAGCAAUACGUUGGUGGCGACCGGCGCACGGGUGAGUAACGCGUAUGCAACCUACCCUGUACAGGGGGAUAGCCCGGAGAAAUUCGGAUUAAUACCCCAUAAAGAUAUUUAGAGGCAUCUUUAGAUAUUUAAAGUUUCGGCGGUACGGGAUGGGCAUGCGUAAGAUUAGCUAGUUGGUAGGGUAACGGCCUACCAAGGCUCCGAUCUUUAGGGGUCCUGAGAGGGUGAUCCCCCACAUUGGUACUGAGACACGGACCAAACUCCUACGGGAGGCAGCAGUGAGGAAUAUUGGUCAAUGGGCGAGAGCCUGAACCAGCCAAGUAGCGUGAAGGAUGAAGGUCCUAUGGAUUGUAAACUUCUUUUAUAGUAGAAUAAAGUGAGCCACGUGUGGUUUUUUGUAUGUAUACUAUGAAUAAGGAUCGGCUAACUCCGUGCCAGCAGCCGCGGUAAUACGGAGGAUCCGAGCGUUAUCCGGAUUUAUUGGGUUUAAAGGGUGCGUAGGCGGAAUAAUAAGUCAGUUGUGAAAGUUUGCGGCUCAACCGUAAAAUUGCAGUUGAUACUGUUAUUCUUGAGUGUACAUAAGGUAGGCGGAAUUCGUGGUGUAGCGGUGAAAUGCUUAGAUAUCACGAAGAACUCCAAUUGCGAAGGCAGCUUACCGGGGUACAACUGACGCU
This 746-nucleotide ribosomal RNA is filed under the name uncultured bacterium. RNAcentral describes it as "bacterial SSU rRNA". It matches the Rfam family "Bacterial small subunit ribosomal RNA", at positions 8 to 747 of the family's 1533-position model. The record is from RNAcentral.